GGUUAAGCGACUAAGCGUACACGGUGGAUGCCCUGGCAGUCAGAGGCGAUGAAGGACGUGCUAAUCUGCGAUAAGCGCCGGUAAGGUGAUAUGAACCGUUAUAACCGGCGAUUUCCGAAUGGGGAAACCCAGUGUGACUCGUCACACUAUCAUUAACUGAAUCCAUAGGUUAAUGAGGCGAACCGGGGGAACUGAAACAUCUAAGUACCCCGAGGAAAAGAAAUCAACCGAGAUUCCCCCAGUAGCGGCGAGCGAACGGGGAGGAGCCCAGAGCCUGAAUCAGCAUGUGUGUUAGUGGAAGCGUCUGGAAAGGCGCGCGAUACAGGGUGACAGCCCCGUACACAAAAGCGCAUGUGCUGUGAGCUCGAUGAGUAGGGCGGGACACGUGGUAUCCUGUCUGAAUAUGGGGGGACCAUCCUCCAAGGCUAAAUACUCCUGACUGACCGAUAGUGAACCAGUACCGUGAGGGAAAGGCGAAAAGAACCCCGGCGAGGGGAGUGAAAAAGAACCUGAAACCGUGUACGUACAAGCAGUGGGAGCACAGGUUUACCUGUGUGACUGCGUACCUUUUGUAUAAUGGGUCAGCGACUUAUAUUCUGUAGCAAGGUUAACCGAAUAGGGGAGCCGGAGGGAAACCGAGUCUUAAUUGGGCGUUAAGUUGCAGGGUAUAGACCCGAAACCCGGUGAUCUAGCCAUGGGCAGGUUGAAGGUUGGGUAACACUAACUGGAGGACCGAACCGACUAAUGUUGAAAAAUUAGCGGAUGACCUGUGGCUGGGGGUGAAAGGCCAAUCAAACCGGGAGAUAGCUGGUUCUCCCCGAAAGCUAUUUAGGUAGCGCCUCGUGAAUUCAUCUCCGGGGGUAGAGCACUGUUUCGGCUAGGGGGCCAUCCCGGCUUACCAACCCGAUGCAAACUGCGAAUACCGGAGAAUGUUAUCACGGGAGACACACGGCGGGUGCUAACGUCCGUCGUGAAGAGGGAAACAACCCAGACCGCCAGCUAAGGUCCCAAAGUCAUGGUUAAGUGGGAAACGAUGUGGGAAGGCCCAGACAGCCAGGAUGUUGGCUUAGAAGCAGCCAUCAUUUAAAGAAAGCGUAAUAGCUCACUGGUCGAGUCGGCCUGCGCGGAAGAUGUAACGGGGCUAAACCAUGCACCGAAGCUGCGGCAGCGACACUGUGUGUUGUUGGGUAGGGGAGCGUUCUGUAAGCCUGCGAAGGUGGCCUGUGAGGGUUGCUGGAGGUAUCAGAAGUGCGAAUGCUGACAUAAGUAACGAUAAAGCGGGUGAAAAGCCCGCUCGCCGGAAGACCAAGGGUUCCUGUCCAACGUUAAUCGGGGCAGGGUGAGUCGACCCCUAAGGCGAGGCCGAAAGGCGUAGUCGAUGGGAAACGGGUUAAUAUUCCCGUACUUGGUGUUACUGCGAAGGGGGGACGGAGAAGGCUAUGUUGGCCGGGCGACGGUUGUCCCGGUUUAAGCGUGUAGGUGUGUGUUCCAGGUAAAUCCGGUUCACUUUAACACUGAGGCGUGACGACGAGGCACUACGGUGCUGAAGCAACAAAUGCCCUGCUUCCAGGAAAAGCCUCUAAGCAUCAGGUAACAUCAAAUCGUACCCCAAACCGACACAGGUGGUCAGGUAGAGAAUACCAAGGCGCUUGAGAGAACUCGGGUGAAGGAACUAGGCAAAAUGGUGCCGUAACUUCGGGAGAAGGCACGCUGACACGUAGGUGAAGUGAUUUACUCAUGGAGCUGAAGUCAGUCGAAGAUACCAGCUGGCUGCAACUGUUUAUUAAAAACACAGCACUGUGCAAACACGAAAGUGGACGUAUACGGUGUGACGCCUGCCCGGUGCCGGAAGGUUAAUUGAUGGGGUCAGCGCAAGCGAAGCUCCUGAUCGAAGCCCCGGUAAACGGCGGCCGUAACUAUAACGGUCCUAAGGUAGCGAAAUUCCUUGUCGGGUAAGUUCCGACCUGCACGAAUGGCGUAAUGAUGGCCAGGCUGUCUCCACCCGAGACUCAGUGAAAUUGAACUCGCUGUGAAGAUGCAGUGUACCCGCGGCAAGACGGAAAGACCCCGUGAACCUUUACUAUAGCUUGACACUGAACAUUGAGCCUUGAUGUGUAGGAUAGGUGGGAGGCUUUGAAGUGUGGACGCCAGUCUGCAUGGAGCCGACCUUGAAAUACCACCCUUUAAUGUUUGAUGUUCUAACGUGGACCCGUAAUCCGGGUUGCGGACAGUGUCUGGUGGGUAGUUUGACUGGGGCGGUCUCCUCCUAAAGAGUAACGGAGGAGCACGAAGGUUGGCUAAUCCUGGUCGGACAUCAGGAGGUUAGUGCAAUGGCAUAAGCCAGCUUGACUGCGAGCGUGACGGCGCGAGCAGGUGCGAAAGCAGGUCAUAGUGAUCCGGUGGUUCUGAAUGGAAGGGCCAUCGCUCAACGGAUAAAAGGUACUCCGGGGAUAACAGGCUGAUACCGCCCAAGAGUUCAUAUCGACGGCGGUGUUUGGCACCUCGAUGUCGGCUCAUCACAUCCUGGGGCUGAAGUAGGUCCCAAGGGUAUGGCUGUUCGCCAUUUAAAGUGGUACGCGAGCUGGGUUUAGAACGUCGUGAGACAGUUCGGUCCCUAUCUGCCGUGGGCGCUGGAGAACUGAGGGGGGCUGCUCCUAGUACGAGAGGACCGGAGUGGACGCAUCACUGGUGUUCGGGUUGUCAUGCCAAUGGCACUGCCCGGUAGCUAAAUGCGGAAGAGAUAAGUGCUGAAAGCAUCUAAGCACGAAACUUGCCCCGAGAUGAGUUCUCCCUGAGACUUAGAGUCUCCUGAAGGAACGUUGAAGACGACGACGUUGAUAGGCCGGGUGUGUAAGCGCAGCGAUGCGUUGAGCUAACCGGUACUAAUGAACCGUGAGGCUUAACCUU
RNAcentral lists this ribosomal RNA (2907 nucleotides) under Salmonella enterica subsp. enterica serovar Senftenberg. RNAcentral's name for it is "23S ribosomal RNA". It matches the Rfam family "Bacterial large subunit ribosomal RNA". The record is from RNAcentral. Lineage: Bacteria; Pseudomonadati; Pseudomonadota; Gammaproteobacteria; Enterobacterales; Enterobacteriaceae. RNAcentral also lists the same sequence under 1 other name.